UACAGAGGUCUCAAGCGUUGUUCGGAUUCAUUGGGCGUAAAGGGUGCGUAGGCGGCGCGGUAAGUCGGGUGUGAAAUCUCGGGGCUUAACUCCGAAACUGCAUUUGAUACUGCCGUGCUUGAGGACUGGAGAGGAGACUGGAAUUUACGGUGUAGCGGUGAAAUGCGUAGAUAUCGUAAGGAAGACCAGUGGCGAAGGCGGGUCCCUGGACAGUUCCUGACGCUGAGGCACGAAGGCCAGGGGAGCAGACGGG
This 253-nucleotide ribosomal RNA is filed under the name uncultured bacterium. Its description in RNAcentral is "partial 16S ribosomal RNA". It matches the Rfam family "Bacterial small subunit ribosomal RNA", at positions 524 to 776 of the family's 1533-position model. The record is from RNAcentral.